Long non-coding RNA from Arabidopsis thaliana (thale cress), 422 nucleotides. RefSeq annotates it as other RNA. NCBI's taxonomy places the organism in Eukaryota, Viridiplantae, Streptophyta, Magnoliopsida, Brassicales, Brassicaceae. The record is from RefSeq. The transcript has a single exon.
GUUGGGCUCUCUUGUUUAAUGACAAUAAAAAUAAAUUAAAACUGAUAAAAAUCAAGAGAGUCGGCUUUCUGGAGAGAGUUUUGAGAAUUUGAGAGAACCGUCGAUGUGGCAACAUGUGAUUGGGUUUUCAAUUUCAACAAAAAAAUAAAUGUGUGCGCGUUCUGUUCUAUCUUCUUUCUCCUCUCUGCCCAAACGAAAUUGACCAAAAGAUGCAAAGCCCAAUCAUCGUUUCUUCUGAAAACUUUUCGCAUUUGAUAUCUUUUCUUUGAAACUGAAAUCAAGAUACACAAACUGAAACCAAUUUGUUCACCAAAAGAAAAUAAAAAUGCGUGGGUUUCGAUUUCAAAGAUAUUCAGGAAAAGAUCUCCGAUAGCUUUCGUCUAUGGCAACACUCUUUUCAAUUCUGGGUUCGAGCUUCGUGG